CGGGGCAUAGUGUAAUGGUAGCACGAGUCCUUUGGGAGGAUUUAGUUCCAGUUCAAAUCUGGAUGCCCCGACAA
This 74-nucleotide transfer RNA is filed under the name Candidatus Wolfebacteria bacterium CG03_land_8_20_14_0_80_40_12. RNAcentral describes it as "tRNA-Pro". It matches the Rfam family "tRNA". From Rfam's summary of the family: Transfer RNA (tRNA) molecules are approximately 80 nucleotides in length. Lineage: Bacteria; Candidatus Wolfeibacteriota. The record is from RNAcentral.